GCCAUGAGAAAGUGGACAGUCGGGAUGCCGAGGACAACACCCUGGAGACUAUACAUUCGUAGGCUAUGCAACUGCAGCCUAACGUUAUGUGUUGCCGUUCCAACACUGCUGAUAAAGCCUGCUGCUCCUGAGACCAGCAUUCAGUGACGCAGACCAAUCCGAGUCACCUUCAGCCUCACCAUCCAACCCACAACGUUUCUGGAGUCUACCAGCAUAGAGCACCUUCAAUGUGAAUCCUUUUCCAGACAUGCAAGGUAUCAAUGAUAACCUGCUCAAGCAAGCAGAACAGGAUCAGGAUACCUCGCAUGCAUCACCAAGGCGGUCAAAUGCUUUGAACGUUGUGCCAAUGCAGCAGAGAGGCAUGCAAAUGCUUCUGAGAGGAUGUCUGGGUCCAGGUCAUUUGGUUCUGCUAGCUCCACGCCGGAGCCUUAUUUGGUCUUCCUGCCCCAACGAGGCGCGGCCGGUCGCUCGUUAAACCAGGGAGUGCUUGGGGAUAAAGGAGGAGGCAGCCUGCACAAAGGGGCAGAGUAAGGAGAGAACAAAGUGAUAUAUGAAGAGAACAAAGUGAUAUAUGAAGAGAACAAUAGCUGUGUGAUUACCUGUUGUGACCUGGACUCUCAGGCUAUCCCCCUUGUGUACCGGACCGGAUUGGCUGAGGACCCGAGUGUGAGGAUUACCCCUGGAAAACGGAACGGACAACGAGAACGGCUUGUGGACUGUGAGGUGAUUGGUGAAUUUCCCCUUCUUCCUCUGUGUACCAGAAUCCCUAAUAAACUCCCCAUCUGCCUUCUA
Salvelinus sp. IW2-2015 is the source of this 792-nucleotide long non-coding RNA. RefSeq lists it as uncharacterized. The record is from RefSeq and is a predicted model, not a curated record. Lineage: Eukaryota; Metazoa; Chordata; Actinopteri; Salmoniformes; Salmonidae.